Molecule: ribosomal RNA, 254 nt
Filed under: uncultured bacterium
Lineage: Bacteria
Description: partial small subunit ribosomal RNA
Rfam family: Bacterial small subunit ribosomal RNA
Source: RNAcentral
AGGACGAACGCUGGCGGCGUGCUUAACACAUGCAAGUCGAGCGGAAAGGCCCUUCGGGGUACUCGAGCGGCGAACGGGUGAGUAACACGUGAGAAACCUGCCCUUAGCUUCGGGAUAGCUCCGGGAAACCGGAAUUAAUACCGAAUAUGACUUUGGCUGACAUCAGCAGAAGUGGAAAGUUUUUCGGCUAGGGAUGGACUCGCGGCCUAUCAGCUAGUUGGUGAGGUAACGGCCCACCAAGGCGACGACGGGUA